CCUACGGGUGGCUGCAGUGGGGAAUCUUGGACAAUGGGGGCAACCCUGAUCCAGCAAUGCCGCGUGUGUGAAGAAGGCCUUCGGGUUGUAAAGCACUUUCAGCGGGGAGGAAGGCGUUAAGUUUAAUAACCUUGUCGAUUGACGUUACCCGCAGAAGAAGCACCGGCUAACUCCGUGCCAGCAGCCGCGGUAAUACGGAGGGUGCAAGCGUUAAUCGGAAUUACUGGGCGUAAAGCGCACGCAGGCGGUCUGUCAAGUCGGAUGUGAAAUCCCCGGGCUCAACCUGGGAACUGCAUUCGAAACUGGCAGGCUAGAGUCUUGUAGAGGGGGGUAGAAUUCCAGGUGUAGCGGUGAAAUGCGUAGAGAUCUGGAGGAAUACCGGUGGCGAAGGCGGCCCCCUGGACAAAGACUGACGCUCAGGUGCGAAAGCGUGGGGAGCAAACAGGAUUAGAUACCCGAGUAGUC
This 465-nucleotide ribosomal RNA is filed under the name uncultured Klebsiella sp. RNAcentral describes it as "bacterial SSU rRNA". It matches the Rfam family "Bacterial small subunit ribosomal RNA", at positions 338 to 795 of the family's 1533-position model. Lineage: Bacteria; Pseudomonadati; Pseudomonadota; Gammaproteobacteria; Enterobacterales; Enterobacteriaceae. The record is from RNAcentral.